RNAcentral lists this ribosomal RNA (910 nucleotides) under uncultured Desulfovibrio sp. RNAcentral's name for it is "bacterial SSU rRNA". It matches the Rfam family "Bacterial small subunit ribosomal RNA", at positions 28 to 921 of the family's 1533-position model. Lineage: Bacteria; Pseudomonadati; Thermodesulfobacteriota; Desulfovibrionia; Desulfovibrionales; Desulfovibrionaceae. The record is from RNAcentral.
AUUGAACGCUGGCGGCGUGCUUAACACAUGCAAGUCGAGCGAGAAAGCUCUCUUCGGAGAGUGAGUAGAGCGGCGCACGGGUGAGUAACGCGUGGAUAAUCUGCCCUGAAGAUCGGGAUAACAGUUGGAAACGGUUGCUAAUACCGUAUAAUCUGCAUAUUUAACUUUAUGUGGGAAAGAUGGCCUCUACUUGUAAGCUAUCACUUUUGGAUGAGUCCGCGUCUCAUUAGCUUGUUGGUGGGGUAAUGGCCUACCAAGGCAACGAUGAGUAGCUGGUCUGAGAGGAUGAUCAGCCACACUGGGACUGAAACACGGCCCAGACUCCUACGGGAGGCAGCAGUGGGGAAUAUUGCGCAAUGGGGGAAACCCUGACGCAGCGACGCCGCGUGUAGGAAGAAGGCCUUCGGGUCGUAAACUACUGUCAAGAGGGAAGAAACCGUAGAGUAUUAAUACGACUCUGCGCUGACGGUACCUCUAGAGGAAGCACCGGCUAACUCCGUGCCAGCAGCCGCGGUAAUACGGAGGGUGCGAGCGUUAAUCGGAAUCACUGGGCGUAAAGCGUGCGUAGGCGGCGUAUCAAGUCAGGCGUGAAAGCCCUCGGCUCAACCGGGGAAUUGCGCUUGAAACUGGUAUGCUAGAGUCUCGGAGAGGUUGGCGGAAUUCCAGGUGUAGGAGUGAAAUCCGUAGAUAUCUGGAGGAACACCGGUGGCGAAGGCGGCCAACUGGACGAGUACUGACGCUGAGGUACGAAAGCGUGGGUAGCAAACAGGAUUAGAUACCCUGGUAGUCCACGCUGUAAACGAUGGAUAUUAGGUGUCGGGGUUUUACUUCGAUGCCGCAGUUAACGCGUUAAAUAUCCCGCCUGGGGAGUACGGUCGCAAGGCUGAAACUCAAGGAAUUGACGGGGCCC